CUAUUGGCUGAAGUUACAAUGUUAACGUGUUCUUUCACAUGUGUUGUCUGAUUAUACAGGGUUGCAAAUUCCAUCCGACGUGUCUUUAUGUCAGAGGUUGCAACAAUAGCUAUUGAUUGGAUUCAAAUUGAUGCAAAUUCUUCUGUUAUCCACGAUGAGUUCAUUGCUCACAGAGUGGGUCUUAUCCCUCUCACCAGUGAUGACGUUGUGGACAAGAUGCAGUACUCCAGAGUAAGCAUUUGGACACUUGAGGAAGAUGUCUGAAGGUAACAUUGCCAGCCAUGCUCACUUGAAGAUGAAACCCCUAAUGCUCUUUAAGCCGUACACUCCACAGAGCUGGGCUUUACGGAAGAGUGGCCAGAAAAAAAGCCAUUGCUUAAAGAAAA
Coregonus clupeaformis (lake whitefish) is the source of this 386-nucleotide long non-coding RNA. RefSeq lists it as uncharacterized. The transcript has 3 exons. The record is from RefSeq and is a predicted model, not a curated record. NCBI's taxonomy places the organism in Eukaryota, Metazoa, Chordata, Actinopteri, Salmoniformes, Salmonidae.